GACGAACGCUGGCGGUGCGCCUUAUGCAUGCAAGUCGAGCGAAGCUUUUCAGUAGUUUACUACAGAAAAUGACUGAGCGGCGAACGGGUGAGUAACGCGUGAGCAAUCUACCUUAGUUACAGGGAUAGCCCGAGGAAACUCGGAUUAAUACCUGAUAUUCUUUACAUUUCGCAAAAAAUCAAAAGGAAAGGUCAGCCGAACUAAGAUGAGCUCGCGUUCUAUCAGCUAGUUGGUGAGGUAAAAGCUCACCAAGGCAACGACGGAUAGCUGGUCUGAGAGGACGAUCAGCCACACUGGGACUGAGACACGGCCCAGACUCCUACGGGAGGCUGCAGCAGGGAAUAUUGCGCAAUGAGCGAAAGCUUGACGCAGCGACACCGCGUGUGGGAUGACGGAUCUAGGUUUGUAAACCACUUUCAGGAGGGAAGAAAAUGACGG
Molecule: ribosomal RNA, 438 nt
Filed under: uncultured bacterium
Lineage: Bacteria
Description: bacterial SSU rRNA
Rfam family: Bacterial small subunit ribosomal RNA
Source: RNAcentral